UCUGUUUAACAAGUUCUCCGUUGGUGAACCAGCGGAGGGAUCAUUACCGAGUUAUCCAACUCCCAACCCCUGUGAAUCAUACCUUUAAUUGUUGCUUCGGCGGGACUUCGCGCCCGCCGGGGACCCAAACCUUCUGAAUUUUUUAAUAAGUAUCUUCUGAGUGGUUAAAAAAAAUGAAUCAAAACUUUCAACAACGGAUCUCUUGGUUCUGGCAUCGAUGAAGAACGCAGCGAAAUGCGAUAAGUAAUGUGAAUUGCAGAAUUCAGUGAAUCAUCGAAUCUUUGAACGCACAUUGCGCCCGUCAGUAUUCUGGCGGGCAUGCCUGUUCGAGCGUCAUUACGCCCCUCAAGUCCCCUGUGGACUUGGUGUUGGGGAUCGGCGAGGCUGGUUUUCCAGCACAGCCGUCCCUUAAAUUAAUUGGCGGUCUCGCCGUGGCCCUCCUCUGCGCAGUAGUAAAGCACUCGCAACAGGAGCCCGGCGCGGUCCACUGCCGUAAAACCCCCCAACUUUUUAUAGUUGACCUCGAAUCAGGUAGGACUACCCGCUGAACUUAAGCAUA
Molecule: ribosomal RNA, 559 nt
Filed under: Metarhizium anisopliae
Lineage: Eukaryota; Fungi; Ascomycota; Sordariomycetes; Hypocreales; Clavicipitaceae
Description: eukaryotic LSU rRNA
Rfam family: 5.8S ribosomal RNA (bases 183-336)
Source: RNAcentral